UCGGUGAAAUGCGUAGAUAUCGAGAGGAACACCAGUGGCGCAAGCGGCUGACUGGCCGAGACCUGACGCUGAGACACGACGGCGUGGGGAGCAAACCGGAUUAGAUACCCGGGUAGUCCACGCAGUAAACGAUGCAUACCCGGUGUUGGGCGGUCUGUUAAAGGACCGCGCAGUGCCCCAGCUUACGCGAUGAGUAUGCCGCCUGGGGACUACGAGCGCAAGCUUAAAACUCAAAGGAAUUGACGG
Molecule: ribosomal RNA, 246 nt
Filed under: uncultured bacterium
Lineage: Bacteria
Description: partial 16S ribosomal RNA
Rfam family: Bacterial small subunit ribosomal RNA
Source: RNAcentral